AAGUCGUAACAAGGUUUCCGUAGGUGAACCUGCGGAAGGAUCAUUAAUGAAUGAAUAUAGAGUUCGGGUUGUAGCUGACCUCCCAGAGGUAUGUGCACGCCCCUUCUCUUUCAUCCACACACCCCUGUGCACUUGUGAGACGGAGAAGCUCAGUUUCCUUUCAUUAGGAGACUUUGUAGCUCCGUCUAUCAACACAUAAAAUCUAAUUUAAUUAAAUCUGAAUGUAAUUUGAUGUAACGCAUCUAAUACAAAGUUUCAACAACGGAUCUCUUGGCUCUC
This 279-nucleotide unclassified non-coding RNA is filed under the name fungal sp. Its description in RNAcentral is "partial internal transcribed spacer region". The stretch from base 1 to 46 matches the Rfam family "Eukaryotic small subunit ribosomal RNA", at positions 1786 to 1831 of the family's 1831-position model. The record is from RNAcentral. Lineage: Eukaryota; Fungi. RNAcentral also lists the same sequence under 1 other name.